Molecule: small nuclear RNA, 106 nt
Organism: Fukomys damarensis (Damara mole-rat)
Lineage: Eukaryota; Metazoa; Chordata; Mammalia; Rodentia; Bathyergidae
Source: Ensembl
GUGCUUGCUUCGGCAGCAUAUAUGCUAAAACUGAAAUGAUACAGGGAAGAUUAGCAUGGCCUUAUGUAAGAAUGACACCCAAACUUGUGAAGCAUUCCAUAUUUUU